GACAGAGGUGCCAAGCGUUAGGCGGAAUCACUGGGCUUAAAGCGUGUGUAGGCGGGUCGUUAAGUACCUUGUGAAAUCCCACGGCUCACCCGUGGAACUGCUGGGCAUACUGGGCGUCUUGGGCCAACUAGGGGCAGCCGGAACAAGCGGUGGAGCGGUGAAAUGCGUAGAUAUCGCUUGGAACGCCGAAGGUGAAAACAGGCUGCUGGGGUUGCGCCGACGCUGAGACACGAAAGCCAGGGGAGCAAACGGG
This 253-nucleotide ribosomal RNA is filed under the name uncultured bacterium. RNAcentral's name for it is "partial 16S ribosomal RNA". It matches the Rfam family "Bacterial small subunit ribosomal RNA", at positions 524 to 776 of the family's 1533-position model. The record is from RNAcentral.